Molecule: ribosomal RNA, 512 nt
Filed under: uncultured bacterium
Lineage: Bacteria
Description: bacterial SSU rRNA
Rfam family: Bacterial small subunit ribosomal RNA
Source: RNAcentral
CUGGCUCAGGAUGAACGCUAGCUACAGGCUUAACACAUGCAAGUCGAGGGGCAGCAUGAAGUUUGCUUGCAAACUUGAUGGCGACCGCGCACGGGUGAGUAACGCGUAUCCAACCUUCCCCCAUAGUAGAGGAUAGCCCGGCGAAAGUCGGAUUAAUACUCUAUGUUGUAUUUUUGAGGACAUCUGACGAAUACCAAAGAUUGAUCGCUAUGGGAUGGGGGAUGCGUCUGAUUAGGUUGUUGGCGGGGUAACGGCCCACCAAGCCGACGAUCAGUAGGGGUUCUGAGAGGAAGGUCCCCCCACAUUGGUACUGAGACACGGACCAAACUCCUACGGGAGGCAGCAGUGAGGAAUAUUGGUCAAUGGGCGAGAGCCUGAACCAGCCAAGUAGCGUGCAGGACGACUGCCCUAUGGGUUGUAAACUGCUUUUAUAGGGGAAUAAGGUCCACUACGUGUAGUGGUUUGUAUGUACCCUAUGAAUAAGGACCGGCUAAUUCCGUGCCAGCAGCUGC